UGCGUAGGCGGAAUAAUAAGUCAGUGGUGAAAUCCUGUGGCUCAACCACAGAACUGCCAUUGAUACUGUUAUUCUUGAAUAUAGUUGAGGUAGGCGGAAUGUGUAAUGUAGCGGUGAAAUGCUUAGAUAUUACACAGAACACCGAUUGCGAAGGCAGCUUGCUAAACUAUCAUUGACGCUGAGGCACGAAAGCGUGGGGAGCGAACAGGAUUAGAUACCCUGGUAGUCC
This 229-nucleotide ribosomal RNA is filed under the name uncultured bacterium. RNAcentral describes it as "partial 16S ribosomal RNA". It matches the Rfam family "Bacterial small subunit ribosomal RNA", at positions 568 to 796 of the family's 1533-position model. The record is from RNAcentral.